CCUUUGUCUCCCUAUCCUGUUCUUUUCUUGAUUUAAUCCAUUUCUUUUGGCUCUUCAUGAAAGGGAAAGGUGUAGCAGCGUCUCUGUAAUUUUUAAAAUUCUUUUUAAAAUUACCAAUAAUCUUGUUUUAUGCCAAGCAUAAUUAAUGAUCCGUUUUGUGAUACAAGAAAAUUGUGGCUGAAAUGGAGAACAAGUCCAUUAAAGACUCGGUCCUAAUUGGUGGUUGAACUUAAGAUAUGAAUGAGGUAUACUCUCCAGUCCAGGUCCACGAUAUUAUGAAACAAGCAAUUUCGUGGGAGAGUGAGAGAACAAC
Long non-coding RNA from Arabidopsis thaliana (thale cress), 313 nucleotides. RefSeq annotates it as other RNA. Lineage: Eukaryota; Viridiplantae; Streptophyta; Magnoliopsida; Brassicales; Brassicaceae. The record is from RefSeq. The transcript has a single exon.